This is a long non-coding RNA of Acanthopagrus latus (yellowfin seabream), 1834 nucleotides long. RefSeq lists it as uncharacterized. The transcript has 12 exons. NCBI's taxonomy places the organism in Eukaryota, Metazoa, Chordata, Actinopteri, Spariformes, Sparidae. The record is from RefSeq and is a predicted model, not a curated record.
CAGGAAUCCUGUAGGUGUUGAGGAUGGUGAUCUCAGGGACUGAAAAUUGAGCUGGGAUGCUGAUCUCCUGCAGUUUGUUCAGGUUGAGUGUAAAAGCUGGAAUGACAAGAUUCAUUUCUCCUUCGCUGUUGACAAGGGCAUCAACAGUGAGGCUGAAAGGCAGAGCCAUGGUGCGAACGGUGCUGUCAAAUCGCAGGGGCUCGGAAUUUAUCCGUGUUUCACAGUUUGACUUGGAGGAAAGUCCAGCAAACUCAAGUUCACAGUUGUGACUUAGCUGGGCAUCCAUUAAAUUCCCAGAUGUGCCGUAUUUCAUCGUACCAGCCAUAUCCUCAUAGGGCUGCACUGAAUGCUGUUAAUUCCACUUGUGGUAAGACCAUUUCUGCCAACCAUCACAGAAGCUUUGUGCAUUCCACGACUACCUGUGUCUAAGGAACAGACAGAGUGGUUGGGAAGUUCAGUUCUUCUGACUUUUUGCCUCCAAGUGGAAGAGGAAGGGAGAUUGCCAUUUUUUCCUUGUUGAACUGGUAUCGGAACAGGCUGUCACUGUUGAGGUGGCAGUGACAGAGGCAUCCAUUUUCAGAGAAGGAAUGAUCAUCUGAAGUUGCAGCAUAGCAUCCUUCAUCAUGUCAAGUCUACACAAAACAAGGACAUGCAGCAAUCUAAAGAUGUGUGUAUAGAACUACACACCUUGUCCGUCCAACGAGAGUCAACUGUGGGAUGUUCUUGUUACUGACAUCAAUGGUGAUACCACGCAUCUUCUUCCCUUUGUUAUCACUGUCAGUUACAGCCAGCUUGAUUCCUGCUUCCACAUCAUAGUCAGGUAUGAUGACCUCAGAGGUGAGUAUGUUCUUGUUGCGGUUGUAUUUUAGAGCUGCAGAGACUUCUGAUGAAUCGUCACCUAGUAACAGCAGAAAUUCAACUUGUCAGUGUUUACCUCUGGGCAAUGGCAACUGGUGGCUUCAAGAUACAUUUAAAAAGACCACUGAUUAGGGGCUGGCAGUCAGCUGAGUCAGUCCGGUCAUCCACCAGGGAUGGAACUACUUUGGUUUGACCAAAGGAGACAGACAGUAGCUGGUGGCUGAAUUUCAAAAAGAGAGAGGAGAGUCAAAAAGUGUUCAUGUCAAGAAACUAUAGAUCUGACCUGGGCAGGCAGAAUCCUGAAGUAAAAAUGGAAAAGUCGAAGAAAGGCAGUGGCUUCAGGGGCAUGAGAGCGACGCACAUCAUCCAUGAGCUUCCUCACAUUGUCUGCAACAUCUUGCAGAAGAUCCUCUGGGACCUGGAAAAGAUAACACAAUUAGAAUUUUCUUUGCUUGGUGAGACAGUUGGAAGUUGUAAGAACAACCGUUAUUGGCCUGUUACUCACCUACUGAUCUGUGGGUCCUGUGAGGAGUGGAUGUUGUUCAGGUGGGAGACCACAAAGCUCUUGAGCUGCUCGUCCUCCAUGUUCGCCAACCUGUCUACGAUGUCUUUAACCAGGGCAUGGUCUGGGUUCUUCAUCAGAAUCAGGAUAAUCAGACUCGGGAUCAGGUGAUGCUCCUAAGCCACCAUCUAAGAGUGUCAGCAUGAACUCCGACACCUCUGUGACCACUGGAGUAACCUCUCCUUUAUGGAACCUAUGAACCACAAACACAGAAGAUAUAUUGAGAUACUCUUUCCCUGUAGUGGUCACCUGGAGCAGUUACCCAGUUAACCCAACUGGAAUAUAGAGCGUCGGGGUUGGCCUGUAGACUCAGCCCGUAGACUAGAGCGUCCACCUCUAUAGACACCCCAUCAAUGGUCCGGACAGCCUGGAGGACGGCACUGGUGCACUCCGGGGUGCCGCACUGGAGCAAAG